UGGGCGGGGGGGGGUACUAAUACAUGCAAGUCGAGCGAACAGAUAAGGAGCUUGCUCCUUUGACGUUAGCGGCGGAGGGAGGAUAGGACGUGGGUAACCUACCUAUAAGACUGGAAUAACUCCGGGAAACCGGGGCUAAUGCCGGAUAACAUUUAGAACCGCAUGGUUCUAAAGUGAAAGAUGGUUUUGCUAUCACUUAUAGAUGGACCCGCGCCGUAUUAGCUAGUUGGUAAGGUAACGGCUUACCAAGGCAACGAUACGUAGCCGACCUGAGAGGGUGAUCGGCCACACUGGAACUGAGACACGGUCCAGACUCCUACGGGAGGCAGCAGUAGGGAAUCUUCCGCAAUGGGCGAAAGCCUGACGGAGCAACGCCGCGUGAGUGAUGAAGGUCUUCGGAUCGUAAAACUCUGUUAUUAGGGAAGAACAAAUGUGUAAGUAACUAUGCACGUCUUGACGGUACCUAAUCAGAAAGCCACGGCUAACUACGUGCCAGCAGCCGCGGUAAUACGUAGGUGGCAAGCGUUAUCCGGAAUUAUUGGGCGUAAAGCGCGCGUAGGCGGUUUCUUAAGUCUGAUGUGAAAGCCCACGGCUCAACCGUGGAGGGUCUUUGG
Molecule: ribosomal RNA, 614 nt
Filed under: Staphylococcus sp. LY100
Lineage: Bacteria; Bacillati; Bacillota; Bacilli; Caryophanales; Staphylococcaceae
Description: bacterial SSU rRNA
Rfam family: Bacterial small subunit ribosomal RNA
Source: RNAcentral